CCUUCCCAUGGAACGUUAUCAUUGUUUUAUUGGUUCUGCUGGUGCUGGUUGGACUUCUUCAUCUCGCCAAAGGUUAUUGGAACAGAGUGUUGCUGUACUUGUCCACACUGGCACCUCAAUCAGGCACAACUGAGGUUCAAACAGUCUCUGUUGAGGCCGGUCGAGAGGCAGCAGAUGCAAACCAAGCGAUGUACGCUGUGGUUUUGAAAAACAGGACAAAGAAAG
This is a non-coding RNA of Labrus bergylta (ballan wrasse), 225 nucleotides long. The record is from RefSeq and is a predicted model, not a curated record. NCBI's taxonomy places the organism in Eukaryota, Metazoa, Chordata, Actinopteri, Labriformes, Labridae.